RNAcentral lists this non-coding RNA (27 nucleotides) under Cricetulus griseus (Chinese hamster). Lineage: Eukaryota; Metazoa; Chordata; Mammalia; Rodentia; Cricetidae. The record is from RNAcentral.
ACAGAGAUCUCAUCAGACGGAGCCUGU